This 340-nucleotide ribosomal RNA is filed under the name uncultured bacterium. RNAcentral describes it as "bacterial SSU rRNA". It matches the Rfam family "Bacterial small subunit ribosomal RNA", at positions 330 to 662 of the family's 1533-position model. The record is from RNAcentral.
AAAACACACCUACGGGAGGCAGCGGUGGGGAAUUUUGGACAAUGGGCGCAAGCCUGAUCCAGCCAUGCCGCGUGCAGGAUGAAGGCCUUCGGGUUGUAAACUGCUUUUGUACGGAACGAAAAGGUUUCUUUUAAUACAGGGAACUGAUGACGGUACCGUAAGAAUAAGCACCGGCUAACUACGUGCCAGCAGCCGCGGUAAUACGUAGGGUGCGAGCGUUAAUCGGAAUUACUGGGCGUAAAGCGUGCGCAGGCGGUGAUGUAAGACAGAGGUGAAAUCCCCGGGCUCAACCUGGGAACUGCCUUUGUGACUGCAUCGCUGGAGUGCGGCAGAGGGGGAU